GAUGAACGCUGGCGGCGUGCCUAAUACAUGCAAGUCGAGCGAACAGACGAGGAGCUUGCUCCUCUGACGUUAGCGGCGGACGGGUGAGUAACACGUGGAUAACCUACCUAUAAGACUGGGAUAACUUCGGGAAACCGGAGCUAAUACCGGAUAAUAUAUUGAACCGCAUGGUUCAAUAGUGAAAGACGGUUUUGCUGUCACUUAUAGAUGGAUCCGCGCCGCAUUAGCUAGUUGGUAAGGUAACGGCUUACCAAGGCAACGAUGCGUAGCCGACCUGAGAGGGUGAUCGCCCACACUGGAACUGAGACACGGUCCAGACUCCUACGGGAGGCAGCAGUAGGGAAUCUUCCGCAAUGGGCGGAAGCCUGACGGAGCAACGCCGCGUGAGUGAUGAAGGUCUUCGGAUCGUAAUACUCUGUUAUUAGGGAAGAACAAAUGUGUGAGUAACUAUGCACGUCUUGACGGUACCUAAUCAGAAAGCCACGGCUAACUACGUG
RNAcentral lists this ribosomal RNA (497 nucleotides) under uncultured bacterium. RNAcentral describes it as "partial 16S ribosomal RNA". It matches the Rfam family "Bacterial small subunit ribosomal RNA", at positions 28 to 507 of the family's 1533-position model. The record is from RNAcentral.